This 302-nucleotide ribosomal RNA is filed under the name uncultured bacterium. RNAcentral describes it as "bacterial SSU rRNA". It matches the Rfam family "Bacterial small subunit ribosomal RNA", at positions 29 to 313 of the family's 1533-position model. The record is from RNAcentral.
AGCGAACGCUGGCGGCGUACUUAACACAUGCAAGUCGAACGAGGAUCGCUACGUGAGCAAUCAUGCGGCGGUUCUAGUGGCGUACGGGUGAGUAACACGUGGGCAACCUGCCCUGGAGCCUGGGAUACCCUCUCGAAAGGGAGGCUAAUACCGGAUACGUUCCCCGGGUCGCGAGAUCUGGGGAGGAAAGGUGGCGCAAGCUGCCGCUCUUGGAGGGGCUCGCGGCCUANCAGCUAGUUGGUGAGGUAAUGGCUCACCAAGGCUAUGACGGGUAGCUGGUCUGAGAGGACGACCAGCCACAC